This is a long non-coding RNA of Rosa chinensis, 756 nucleotides long. RefSeq lists it as uncharacterized. Lineage: Eukaryota; Viridiplantae; Streptophyta; Magnoliopsida; Rosales; Rosaceae. The transcript has 4 exons. The record is from RefSeq and is a predicted model, not a curated record.
CCCGGCCCCUGAACCACUUCUUGAAGAAGCACUUGAACAAGAAGGUCCAAAGAAGCCAUGCUCUAAAUCUGCUAAGGAAUUAUGACCACAAUAUUAUUGCCACUUCUUCAUAUAAACAGAGGGCAUGCCAAUAUUAUUACCAAAAUGGCGGAGGUAUUCGGCGGUGGCGGGGAGGCGUUGCGGUUGAGAAUUGGAGCUGAGCGCGCCAUUGUUUACAUCGACAGAGCCUCUGUAGGGAUUUGAAGGAGAUAGGACUCGACCUUGGCUGCGAUUUUUCAUCUCCGCUGUGCAGGUCAGUCCAGACCUCUAUGGUGACAGCAACACGAUGUCAAUAUACUUGUCUGGAAGGUAAAAUCAUAUUAGUUGCUACUUCCAGUUAGGUUUUUAUUUGGACUGCAACUUGGUGAGGCACAAGAAGUUGUUAUGGGUUAUUUAGUACUAUGGACUGAACCCUUGCUUUUAGGACAACUUGGUGAGGCACAAGGAAGUUAUUAUGGGUUUAGUUCAGUUCAUAGGGCUGUGAGUCUUGUGAAUUUCUGCAGUAAUUACUUUCUGGAGCUCUCUCGCCUUCAUCUUUUACAGUUAGGAAGUCCUUUCUCUUUAACCCACACUGGGUGGUCAGAACUGAGUGGGAAAAGUUUGUGGUUAAAACAUAUAUGUAAGAUUUGUGUUGGUACUUCUUUGAGACCUAUUUUGUUAUUUCAGUUCAAAGUUUGUGGUUACGUUUUGGUUGGACAUGAAUAGCUAGUACUUUGA